RNAcentral lists this ribosomal RNA (420 nucleotides) under Triticum aestivum (bread wheat). Its description in RNAcentral is "partial small subunit ribosomal RNA". The record is from RNAcentral. Lineage: Eukaryota; Viridiplantae; Streptophyta; Magnoliopsida; Poales; Poaceae.
AUGGAUCAGUAUGAGGUGUUGGAUCAGACUUGGAAGGGCUCUUUGGCUCUACACUCCAGGUAUGUCUCCAAGGUUGCAAGGGAUAUGACAUUGCCUUUGUUGUGCUCGGGAAUAAGUGGUCAUGAAAAAUACAGCUCCGCAACUCUGCAACCAAAAAAGCUCUCUGAACUUGCCGCUGAUUCAUCUAACUGCUCCUGCUGCUCUUGGCUGCCUUCGGAUGAAGGUACUGCUUCGGUGCUAGAUUGGAUGGAUAAGCAAGAAAGCAAACCGAAUGGGAAAAGAUUGGGAGCAUAUGCAUUGGUUUGGAAACUAAAAAAAGGAGAAGAUAAGAGUAUGUGGUGGACAAAGGUCACCCGUUUAUCAACAACUAGAUGCCGGCUUCGUUUUUUAAAGCAAGACUUCCAAAAUAUUAUUUUGUGA